GACGAACGCUGGCGGCGUGCUUAACACAUGCAAGUCGAGCGGUAAGGCCCUUUCGGGGGUACACGAGCGGCGAACGGGUGAGUAACACGUGGGUGACCUGCCCUCAGCUCUGGGAUAAGCCUGGGAAACCGGGUCUAAUACUGGAUAUGACUCCAUGACGCAUGUUGUGGGGUGGAAAGCCUUGUGCGGCUGAGGAUGGGCCCGCGGCCUAUCAGCUUGUUGGUGGGGUGANGGCCUACCAAGGCGACGACGGGUAGCCGGCCUGAGAGGGCGACCGGCCACACUGGGACUGAGACACGGCCCAGACUCCUACGGGAGGCAGCAGUGGGGAAUCUUGCGCAAUGGGCGAAAGCCUGACGCAGCGACGCCGCGUGAGGGAUGACGGCCUGGUGUAACUCUUAC
RNAcentral lists this ribosomal RNA (402 nucleotides) under uncultured bacterium. RNAcentral describes it as "bacterial SSU rRNA". It matches the Rfam family "Bacterial small subunit ribosomal RNA", at positions 28 to 435 of the family's 1533-position model. The record is from RNAcentral.